GCCUUCGUGGUGUAACGGUAGCACACUCGGCGCGUAUUCGAGAGGUCCAGGUUCGAGUCCCAGCGCGGGCA
Molecule: transfer RNA, 71 nt
Filed under: Stegodyphus mimosarum
Lineage: Eukaryota; Metazoa; Arthropoda; Arachnida; Araneae; Eresidae
Rfam family: tRNA
About the family: Transfer RNA (tRNA) molecules are approximately 80 nucleotides in length. Their secondary structure includes four short double-helical elements and three loops (D, anti-codon, and T loops).
Source: Rfam by way of RNAcentral